Molecule: ribosomal RNA, 254 nt
Filed under: uncultured bacterium
Lineage: Bacteria
Description: partial 16S ribosomal RNA
Rfam family: Bacterial small subunit ribosomal RNA
Source: RNAcentral
CACGUAGGGUGCGAGCGUUGUCCGGAAUUAUUGGGCGUAAAGAGCUCGUAGGCGGUGUGUCGCGUCGGCCGUGAAAACCUGCAGCUUAACUGUGGGCUUGCGGUCGAUACGGGCAUCACUGGAGUUCGGCAGGGGUGACUGGAAUUCCUGGUGUAGCGGUGAAAUGCGCAGAUAUCAGGAGGAACACCGGUGGCGAAGGCGGGUCUCUGGGCAACAACUGACGCUGAGGAGCGAAAGCGUGGGGAGCGAACAGG